UACGUAGGGGGCAAGCGUUGUCCGGAUUUAUUGGGCGUCAAGAGCGUGUAGGCGGUCAGGUAGGUCCGUUGUGAAAACUCGAGGCUCAACCUCGAGACGCCGAUGGAAACCAUCUGACUAGAGUCCGGAAGAGGAGAGUGGAAUUCCUGGUGUAGCGGUGAAAUGCGCAGAUAUCAGGAAGAACACCCGUGGCUAAGGCGGCUCUCUAGUACGGUACUGACGCUGAGACGCGAAAGCGUGGGGAGCGAACAGG
RNAcentral lists this ribosomal RNA (253 nucleotides) under uncultured bacterium. Its description in RNAcentral is "partial 16S ribosomal RNA". It matches the Rfam family "Bacterial small subunit ribosomal RNA", at positions 524 to 776 of the family's 1533-position model. The record is from RNAcentral.